UACGUAGGGUCCGAGCGUUGUCCGGAAUUACUGGGCGUAAAGAGCUCGUAGGUGGUUUGUCGCGUUGUUCGUGAAAACUCGCAGCUCAACUGUGGGCGUGCGGGCGAUACGGGCAGACUUGAGUACUGCAGGGGAGACUGGAAUUCCUGGUGUAGCGGUGGAAUGCGCAGAUAUCAGGAGGAACACCGGUGGCGAAGGCGGGUCUCUGGGCAGUAACUGACGCUGAGGAGCGAAAGCGUGGGGAGCGAACAGG
This 253-nucleotide ribosomal RNA is filed under the name uncultured bacterium. Its description in RNAcentral is "partial 16S ribosomal RNA". It matches the Rfam family "Bacterial small subunit ribosomal RNA", at positions 524 to 776 of the family's 1533-position model. The record is from RNAcentral.